RNAcentral lists this long non-coding RNA (738 nucleotides) under Homo sapiens (human). RNAcentral describes it as "HSALNT0309034". Lineage: Eukaryota; Metazoa; Chordata; Mammalia; Primates; Hominidae. The record is from RNAcentral.
CCUCCAGGCCUUCCUGGAUGCAGAUAUACACAAAGAUGGAAGCUGGGCGGAGGCUGAUGCCAUCUUUGGACAGCAGAGUCUUGGACUGAUGUUUACUGGAUCCUGCACAGGGAAUGGAGGGCAGGAAAUGAGUCUACUGAAGAGGCAAGAGGAAGAAACUUUGAAGAACAAGAGCGUAUAUUUCAGCUGCACUCCUUAAAAGCUAAAUAACUGGCCUCCUUAUUCCCCCAGCCAGGGGCUAACUGGCUUUCUGGUUCAGGGGCUUAGAGACUCAAGAGAGCCACUUGAAUUGAAGACAACUCAGGAAAGGGCAGCGAGCCAGCAUUUAAAGGAAUAGCAAACAGGAACCAUGGAAGAAGAACCAGAGGAAAAGGAAUCAUUUGCACUAGAGAAGAGGCCAAAGAAAGAGGAUCAAGGGUUUUCCGUUUCCAGCGAGGGCAAAGCUGGUAUCAGAAAGAACUUCCUGAAAGUAAAGGAAACAUGAGCAUAAUGGAGGAAUGAGGAGCCAUGGAAUCUUCUUCCUCCUGAGAGGUCUAGCACCUCAGAGGAAACCCCUGUCUUGUCUGAACAGGAAAUGCCUGCCCUCCUUUGGGAGGAGUGGUUAAAUGAGAUGAUUGGGCAGGGGUCAGGAUAGGGAUAGACUCAACCUUCUCUCAGGCAGAUGGCUGCUUGUCUCUGGACCUUGUAAUCAUGUCCCUCUCUCCAACCCCUAUGUCUGGUGCCUCUCCACCUGAUUUC